RNAcentral lists this non-coding RNA (89 nucleotides) under Schistosoma japonicum. The record is from RNAcentral. Lineage: Eukaryota; Metazoa; Platyhelminthes; Trematoda; Strigeidida; Schistosomatidae.
AUUGUGACUAGCAAGCGGAAUCCAGGACGAUGGAUGAGUCUCAAAUUGGACGAAACGAACUUCUUGAAUUCCACUUACCAGUCACAAUC